AACGAACGCUGGCGGCGUGCCUAAGCCAUGCAAGUCGAACGGGUUGUCGCAAGACAAUCAGUGGCGAACUGGUGAGUAAUACGUGGGUAAUCUGCCCGAGAGUGGGGAAUAGCCCUUCCAACGAGGGGGUAACACCGCAUAUUAUCGCGAAUCCGCAUGGAUUUGCGAUGAAAACAGGGGAUCGCAAGACCUUGUGCUCUCGGAUGAACCCGCGCUCCAUUAGCUAGUUGGUGAGGUAACGGCUCACCAAGGCGACGAUGGGUAGCCGGCCUGAGAGGGUGACCGGCCACACUGGGACUGAGAUACGGCCCAGACUCCUACGGGAGGCAGCAGGCGGGAAUAUUGGGCAAUGGACGAAAGUCUGACCCAGCGACGCCGCGUGAGGGAUGAAGCUUCUCGGAGCGUAAACCUCAAACGGAUAGGGACGAAAAGCCUAUCGGCUAAUAUCCGGUAGGCCUGACGGUACCUGUUACGAAGCUCCGGCUAACUCCGUGCCAGCAGCCG
Molecule: ribosomal RNA, 504 nt
Filed under: uncultured bacterium
Lineage: Bacteria
Description: bacterial SSU rRNA
Rfam family: Bacterial small subunit ribosomal RNA
Source: RNAcentral